AGUUCGAUCAUGGCUCAGAUUGAACGCUGGCGGGAUGCUUUACACGCCGCAAGUCGAACGGCAGCACGGACUUCGGUCUGGUGGCGAGUGGCGAACGGGUGAGUAAUGUAUCGGAACGUGCCUAGUAGCGGGGGAUAACUACGCGAAAGCGUAGCUAAUACCGCAUACGCCCUUCGAGGAAAGCGGGGGACCUUCGGGCCUCGCACUAAUGAAGCGGCCGAUAUCGGAUUAGCUAGUUGGUGGGAGUAACGGCUCACCAAGGCGACGUCCGUAGCUGGUUUGAGAGGACGACCAGCCACACUGGGACUGAGACGCAGCCCAGACUCCUACAGGCGCAGCGGUGAAAUUUUGGACAAUGGGGGAAACCCUGAUCCAGCCAUCCCGCGUGUGCGAUGAAGCCUUCGGGUUGUAAAAGCACUUUUGGCAGGAAAGAAACGGCACGGGAUAAUACCCCGUGCAACUGACGGCAAACACACCUGCAGAAUAAGCGCAAUAACUACGUGCCAGCAGCCGCGGUAAUACGUAAGGUGCAGGCGUUAAUCGGAAUUACUGGGCCGUAAAGCGUGCGCAGGCGGUUCGGAAAGAAGAUGUGAAAUCCCAGAGCUUACUUUGGAACUGCAUUUUUAACUACCGAGCUAAGAGUGUGUCAGAGGGAGGUGGAAUUCCCGCGUGUAGCAGUGAAAUGCGUAGAUAUGCGGAGGAGCCUGCCGAUGGCGGAGGCAGCCUCCUGGGAUAACAUGACGCUCAUGCACGAAAGCGUGGGAGCAAACAGGAUUAGAUACCCUGGUAGUCCACGCCCUAAACGAUGUCAACUAGCUGUUGGGGCCUUCGGGCCUUGGUAGCGCAGCUAACGCGUGAAGUUGACCGCCUGGGGAGUACGGUCGCAAGAUUAAAACUCAAAGGAAUUGACGGGGACCCGCACAAGCGGUGGAUGAUGUGGAUUAAUUCGAUGCAACGCAGAAAACCUUACCUACCCUCGACAUGUCUGGAAUCCCGAAGAGAUUUGGAGUGCUCGCAAAGGAAGAACCGGAGACACAGGUGCUGCAUGGCUGUCGUCAGCUCGUGUCGUGAGAUGUUGGGUUAAGUCCCGCAACAGGCGCAACCCUUGUCAUUAGUUGCUACGAAAGGGCACUCUAAUGAGACUGCCGGUGACAAACCGGAGGAAGGUGGGGAUGACGUCAAGUCCUCAUGGCCCUUAUGGGUAGGGCUUCACACGUCAUACAAUGGUCGGGACAGAGGGUCGCCAACCCGCGAAGAGGGGGAGCCAAUCCCAGAAACCCGAUCGUAGUCGGAUCGCAGUCUGCAACUCGACUGCGUGAAGUCGGAAUCGCUAGUAAUCGCGGAUCAGCAUGUCGCAGUGGGCCACGUUCCCGGGUCUUGUACACACCGCCCGUCACACCAUGGGAGUGGGUACCAAGUAGUUAGCCUAACCGUAAGGAGGGCGAUUACCACGGUAGGAUUCAUGACUGGGGUGAAGUCAUGCUUGAGUAG
RNAcentral lists this ribosomal RNA (1491 nucleotides) under uncultured Bordetella sp. RNAcentral's name for it is "partial 16S-23S ribosomal RNA intergenic spacer". It matches the Rfam family "Bacterial small subunit ribosomal RNA". Lineage: Bacteria; Pseudomonadati; Pseudomonadota; Betaproteobacteria; Burkholderiales; Alcaligenaceae. The record is from RNAcentral.